CCUACGGGAGGCAGCAGUGAGGAAUAUUGGUCAAUGGACGAGAGUCUGAACCAGCCAAGUCGCGUGCAGGAUGACUGCCCUAUGGGUUGUAAACUUCUUUUGUACAGGAGUAAAACGAGGCACGUGUGCCUUUUUGCAUGUACUUUAUGAAUAAGGAUCGGCUAACUCCGUGCCAGCAGCCGCGGUAAUACGGAGGAUCCGAGCGUUAUCCGGAUUUAUUGGGUUUAAAGGGAGCGUAGACGGGUUGUUAAGUCAGUUGUGAAAGUUUGCGGCUCAACCGUAAAAUUGCAAUUGAUACUGGUAGUCUUGAGUACAGUUGAGGUAGGCGGAAUUCGUGGUGUAGCGGUGAAAUGCUUAGAUAUCACGAAGAACCCCGAUUGCGAAGGCAGCUUACUAAACUGUGACUGACAUUGAUGCUCGAAAGUGUGGGUAUCAAACAGGAUUAGAUACCCUGGUAGUC
This 460-nucleotide ribosomal RNA is filed under the name uncultured bacterium. RNAcentral's name for it is "partial 16S ribosomal RNA". It matches the Rfam family "Bacterial small subunit ribosomal RNA", at positions 338 to 795 of the family's 1533-position model. The record is from RNAcentral.